Molecule: ribosomal RNA, 253 nt
Filed under: uncultured bacterium
Lineage: Bacteria
Also listed under: 1 other name
Description: partial 16S ribosomal RNA
Rfam family: Bacterial small subunit ribosomal RNA
Source: RNAcentral
GACGAACCGUGCAAACGUUGUUCGGAAUCACUGGGCUUAAAGGGCGCGUAGGCGGCCAACCAAGUCAGUGGUGAAAUCCUGCAGCUUAACUGUAGAAGUGCCUUUGAUACUGGUUGGCUCGAGGGAGGUAGGGGUAUGUGGAACUUCUGGUGGAGCGGUGAAAUGCGUUGAUAUCAGAAGGAACGCCGGUGGCGAAAGCGACGUACUGGACCUCUUCUGACGCUGAGGCGCGAAAGCUAGGGGAGCAAACGGG